This 616-nucleotide ribosomal RNA is filed under the name uncultured bacterium. RNAcentral's name for it is "bacterial SSU rRNA". It matches the Rfam family "Bacterial small subunit ribosomal RNA", at positions 338 to 950 of the family's 1533-position model. The record is from RNAcentral.
CCUACGGGAGGCAGCAGUGGGGAAUUUUGGACAAUGGGCGAAAGCCUGAUCCAGCCAUGCCGCGUGCAGGAUGAAGGCCUUCGGGUUGUAAACUGCUUUUGUACGGAACGAAAAGGUCUUUUCUAAUAAAGAAGGCUCAUGACGGUACCGUAAGAAUAAGCACCGGCUAACUACGUGCCAGCAGCCGCGGUAAUACGUAGGGUGCGAGCGUUAAUCGGAAUUACUGGGCGUAAAGCGUGCGCAGGCGGUUAUAUAAGACAGUUGUGAAAUCCCCGGGCUCAACCUGGGAACUGCAUCUGUGACUGUAUAGCUAGAGUACGGUAGAGGGGGAUGGAAUUCCGCGUGUAGCAGUGAAAUGCGUAGAUAUGCGGAGGAACACCGAUGGCGAAGGCAAUCCCCUGGACCUGUACUGACGCUCAUGCACGAAAGCGUGGGGAGCAAACAGGAUUAGAUACCCUGGUAGUCCACGCCCUAAACGAUGUCAACUGGUUGUUGGGUCUUCACUGACUCAGUAACGAAGCUAACGCGUGAAGUUGACCGCCUGGGGAUACGGCCGCAAGGUUGAAACUUAGAAUUGACGUGNGNGNGAGACGAGACGACGACGAGGAGGAGGGAG